GAUGAACGCUGGCGGCGUGCCUAAUACAUGCAAGUCGAGCGAACGGACGAGAAGCUUGCUUCUCUGAUGUUAGCGGCGGACGGGUGAGUAACACGUGGAUAACCUACCUAUAAGACUGGGAUAACUUCGGGAAACCGGAGCUAAUACCGGAUAAUAUUUUGAACCGCAUGGUUCAAAAGUGAAAGACGGUCUUGCUGUCACUUAUAGAUGGAUCCGCGCUGCAUUAGCUAGUUGGUAAGGUAACGGCUUACCAAGGCAACGAUGCAUAGCCGACCUGAGAGGGUGAUCGGCCACACUGGACCUGAGACACGGUCCAGACUCCUACGGGAGGCAGCAGUAGGGAAUCUUCCGCAAUGGGCGAAAGCCUGACGGAGCAACGCCGCGUGAGUGGUGAAGGUCUUCGGAUCGUAAAACUCUGUUAUUAGGGAAGAACAUAUGUGUAAGUAACUGUGCACAUCUUGACGGUACCUAAUCAGAAAGCCACGGCUAACUACGUG
RNAcentral lists this ribosomal RNA (497 nucleotides) under uncultured bacterium. RNAcentral's name for it is "partial 16S ribosomal RNA". It matches the Rfam family "Bacterial small subunit ribosomal RNA", at positions 28 to 507 of the family's 1533-position model. The record is from RNAcentral.